UAUCAUGUGACUGUGUACAGUGUUUGCUGCUUGAGAGGGGUGAGGGGUAGGGGGGUGGCUGGCUGUCAGUCAGGGUGCAAAUCAAAUUAAGGAAAGAUUAAAAAGAAUAAGAUUAAAUAAAGUAAAAUAAAUAGAAAUAGGUAGAUAGAUAGAAGUAAAAGAAUGAUGCUAAAAUGGUGGUGUUUAAUAGGGUAAUGGAUAAAAAGACGAUGUCUUAAAAGAGAAUGAUGGAUACAAUUUUCCACUAUUCCACUAUUGAGGAACUAGGAACUUCUGUCAUUAGUUGAUGUGACAGUCGAGCUAGUUACGGGGGGCACCUGGAGUUCAAGGCUAACGGCCGUCCAUGCUAACUGCUAGCGUCAUGUUUCGGCGUGUUCACGUAAAAAAAUGGAGAGCGGUGAGCGGUUUCAAAGACAUCGGUCCUCAUCCCCAGGUUUUAAGCUUCUACCAGAAUAUUGUGAUAUGAAGUUUGGAGGAUAAGACAAAAUGGUGUACACCAGCCACUGGGUUGAGCUUUUUCACCUGUCUAAUGCUACUGGGAGGAGAUGGAGUUCGAAUCGGCAGUUGACUUCUGAUCUGAUGGUGAGAGGUUUUCCUUGGACCAGUUUGUCUGUUUAUCCUGGGUCGAGGGGGCUUUGGGGGCUCCGGCCUUGGCUCUGUGGCCUCCCUGGACCUCUCCACAUUCGCCUUCCCCUGUCGAGACAGUCUGGAGGGAACAGACGGACAGCAGCAACAUUAUAUACAUGGUGCAGUGUCAGCAACUUGCAGUGUCAUCAUCAGGACUUGCAUGCCAACAGCACCAAGAGAGGGGAGGAGAGGAGCUACAGUAAAAAAAGAAGACCUUCCUGAAACAUUCCUGUGCAAGUCCAACAUCCAGACUAGCAACAUCUGCAGACACAGGCCCUCCCCCUCCACCUCCUCACCCACCCACCUGCUGUCCCUGCUCUCUCUCCUCCCUUCAGCCGACCCAACACGUCACGAUUGUGCUGAAGGUGACGCAGAGGAGCUCUGAGUGGCGAAGAAGUCCUCAGCUGUGAGAUAUUAACUGAUUAAGCACUGAUACAAGGGGAAAUAAUAGGGAUUGUGACUUUAUUAUGUUAGGCUAUUAAUCUGCUAUCACAUGUCAUCUGUAGGGACUUGGCCUCAGUGGAGUAAUCUGCUGGGUAAGGCACACACACACACACACACACGAACACACACAUACACACACACAAUAGUGCUGGGAAGUCCCCAGUAAGUCACACAAUCGGUUAAUUGUAAUUUCUUGCUACUGUAAUUAUUCAACUGUGUGGUGAUAAUUACUAGACCAUAGAAUGGGAGCAGAAUCUGUCAGGAUACUGUAAUUAUUUUACACAUGUUGUAUUUGGAGUAUUAGUACUGUAUAAUAUUGGAUAAACAACUCUUUCCCCCUCCUCUCCUCACCUCGGAUGUAAUUCUCCCAUUUUUUUUAGCAGCGGUUUUGUCUGUUAGUUGGUCCACCUCUUUGGUCCAGAUUGAAAUAUCUCAACAGCUAUUGGACGGAUUUUCAUGACCUUUUGUACAGACAUUCAUUCAUGGUGCCCCAAAGGAUGAAUCCUGACUUUAUGAUGGUGAUCUCUAGCGCCACCAACAGGUCAAAGUUUUCUUUUAUCCAGUGAAAUAUCUCAGUAUUCAUUAAAUGGAUUGCCAUAACAUUUGGUACAGACAUUGAUGGUUCCUAGAGGAUUAAUCCUAAUGAAUUUGGUGAUCACCACAACUUUUCCUCUUGUGCCACCACCAGGGAGACAUUGGAUUUUUUUAGUGACAUUUCAUGACAGCUAUUAGAGGAAUUGUCAUCAAAUUUGGUUUGGACAUUCAUGCUUCACUCAGGAUGAAUUGUAAUAACAACACGUUCUCAUCCCAACUCAUCACAUACUGUCGCUUUGUCACACCCCGCCCCUUAGCGUCUUGCCCCUUGGUGUCACUUUAGGGUUUGGCAACAAAACCACUUAGUUAGGUU
This is a long non-coding RNA of Sebastes umbrosus (honeycomb rockfish), 1978 nucleotides long. RefSeq lists it as uncharacterized. The transcript is spliced from 6 exons. The record is from RefSeq and is a predicted model, not a curated record. NCBI's taxonomy places the organism in Eukaryota, Metazoa, Chordata, Actinopteri, Perciformes, Sebastidae.